Molecule: ribosomal RNA, 1434 nt
Filed under: metagenome
Description: bacterial SSU rRNA
Rfam family: Archaeal small subunit ribosomal RNA
Source: RNAcentral
UUCCGUUGAUCCUGCGGAAGAUUGCUGCUAUGAGAGUUCGAUUAAGCCAUGCAAGUCAGAGGGCCGCAAGGCACAGGCUGAAUGCUCAGUAACACGUCAAUAAUCUGCCCUUGAGUCUGGGACAACCUUGGGAAACUGAGGCUAAACCCGGAUAGGGAAUUGAUACUGGAAUGUUCUUUUCCUGAAAAGUAAUGCUCAAGGAUGAGUUGGCGGCUGAUUAGGCUGUAGGCAGUGUAACGGACUACCAAACCUUUGAUCAGUACGGGCCGUGAGAGCGGUAGCCCGGAGAAGGGUACUUAGACACAGACCCUAGCCCUACGGGGUGCAGCAGGCGCGAAAACUCUACAAUGUACGGAAGUGCGAUAGGGGAACUCCCAGUGCUCAGGCUUUUGUCUGGGCUUUUGCCAAGUGUAGAUAGCUUGGCGAAUAAGUGGUGGGUAAGACGGGUGCCAGCCGCCGCGGUAACACCCGCGCCACGAGUGGCAAUCGCAAUUAUUGGGCCUAAAGCGUUCGUAGCCGGAUAAGAAAGUCUUGGGUGAAAUCGUUACGCUUAACAAAACGGCGUGCUUGAGAAACUUCUUGUCUAGGGACCGGGAGGAGUGAGGGGUAUUCCUGAGGGAGCGGUAAAAUGCUAUAAUCUCAGGAGGACCACCUGUGGCGAAGGCGUCUCACUAGAACGGGUUCGACGGUGAGGAACGAAAGCUAGGGGAGCAAACGGGAUUAGAUACCCCAGUAGUCCUAGCCGUAAACGCUGUGAACUAGAUGUUGCUUAUCCUUCGGGGAUGGGCAGUGUCGGCGCGAAGGUAUUAAGUUCACCGCCUGGGAAGUACGGUCGCAAGGCUGAAACUUAAAGGAAUUGGCGGGAGAGCACCACAAGGGGUGCGGCGUGCGGUUCAAUCUAACUCAACGCAGAGAAUCUCACCAGCAGCGACGGCAGAAUGAAGGUCAGAUUAAAUGUCUUACCUGACGAGCCGAGAGGUAGUGCAUGGCCGUCGUCAGCUCGUGCCGUAAGGUGUCCUCUUAAGUGAGGUAACGAGCGAGACCCAUACCUAUACUUGCUAACAGGUUUUUCGAAAUGACUGAGCACAGUAUAGGGACUGCCUUGGAAACAAGGAGGAAGGUGUGGGCAACGGUAGGUCUGUAUGCUCCGAAUCUGCUGGGCUACACGCGCGCAACAAUGGCCAGGACAAUUGGAUGCAACGCUGAAAAGCGAAGCUAAACCUCGAAACCUAGUCUUAGUUUAGAUUGAGGAUUGUAAUUCAUCCUCAUGACAACGGAAUCCCUAGUAAUCGGACCUCAUCACAGUCCGGUGAAUAUGUCCCUGCUCUUUGCACACACCGCCCGUCAAACCAACCGAGUUGGGUCUAGGUGAGAUGUAGCUUUCAGUUGCUUCGAAUCUAGGUUCGGUGAGGUGGGUUAAGUCGUCACAAGGUA